AAGAGGUGGCAGGGGACUGAAGAGGCUUUGCACAGUCCUGCUGGGUCAGCACUGCCUGCCUGCCUGCCUGCUCUGCAGGCCUGCGUCCGCUUUGCAGAACGCCGGCGCGAUCGCGGCCGCUCUUCUCGCCUCUGCUUUUCGCCGGAGAGACCCGCAGAGGCUGCAAGACGGGCGGCCCCCUUCUCGCGGCUCCUCACCCGCGGCUGCAAGCUUCUUCUUCCUCCUCCUCCUAGGAUAUCAAUUUUUUUCUACUUUUUGAUGAUAAUCCCCAGUAACAACACAACAUUAUACCUAUGAAAGGAUCUCUUUUGGAGUCAGGCUUAUAUCAGACAAAUGAACAAAAAGUAAAUCUGUCGGCUCCUCACAGCACGAAUUGGGGGAAAACUGCAGAAUGGUGUCAGUUGAAAUUUCGGAUUCCAAGAUGGCGUGUAUUAGGAAGAAGGUAGACCAAGAAUCUCCUCCGUUUCUUCACAAGAGCAUUGCCAAGAUACAUCAGAACAAGAGAUGCUUCACCAAACUCAGAUGCCAAGGAGGUAAUGCUGCGAAUGGAUGAACAGUGACGGCCUGGAAUUUAUAGACUGUCCUUUGGGGUGAGGUAGUAGGUUGUAUAGUUUUAGGGUUAGACCCUGACUGUCAGAUAACUAUACAAUCUACUGUCUUUCCUGAAGUGGCUGUGAUAGCAACGCAGGAGGCAUCGUCCCACUUUUCUAGAAACCGCGCUUUGUUAUUUUUUUUGUGCAUGAAGUUUUUUGAGUAAAAGCUUAGAAAAUACAGUGGCAUAUUAGAAAUAUUAGAAAUUCAAGCAACGUUACAAUCCAAUAGUCUUGUUUCUUACAAUAAACCCACUGAUGUUAAGAUGGUGGCUGCACCCACCUCAUGAAACCCCCAUCUCUUUCCACCUGCCACAGCGCACGUACACACCAGAGGUGGGUUUCAGCAGGUUCUGACCAGUUCUGGAGAACCGGUAGCGGAAAUUUUGAGUAGUUCGGAGAACCGGUAGUAAAAAUUCUGACUGGCCCCGCCCCCAUCUAUUCUCUGCCUCCCAAGUCACAGCUGAUCGAGAGGAAAUGGGGAUUUUGCAGUAACUUUCCCCCUGAGUGGGGAGGGAAUGGAGAUUUUACAGUAUCCUUUCCCUGCCAUGCCCAAGCCACGCCCAUCAAGCCAUGCCACGUCCACCAAGCCACACCCACAGAACCGGUAGUAAAAAAAAUUGAAACCCACCACUGAUACACACCCACACACCCCACAGAUACCCCAAUCCCCAAUAAUGUCUUUUUGUUUGUGUUAUACACAGAAUGAACUCUCCUUGGGUCCAGAUUGAUCAAUUUAUCUUAACAAUGGACUGAAUUGUGGAUUUUUUUUCUAAAAGAAAAGGAAUAACUCUUGCAGAAUUCAAAAAGGCCAAAAAAUAUUUUUCUUUGCGUACUAAAGCUUUAAACCUUUCAAAGUGGAUGCAAGUAUCAGUCUAAAAGCAAUGGAAUGGCUAUCCCGAAAUUGAUGUUGACUAGAAUUAUUCCUAGUCAAUGCUCCUGGGUGACAGAUUGCAGAUCAGGAAACAUUCCCAUUACAGUUAACUUUUGAAUUCAUGGAGGAGGAGAAAAAAGAGGCUGUGAGGUAAUUCUUCACAGUGAGGUGGUGAUCGAGAGCUUUAAGAUGAGGAGGUUCUUAAAAGGUGCUAAUAUUGUUGCUUUCUUUAUAAUUCGUUUAAACUUUUUCAGCUUAUCCAAUUCCUGGUUUUCCCAAUGAUCUCACAUCCUAAUCUUUUUAAAUCUUUUUAAAUUUUAUUAAUAAUGUGUAACUAACCAAAAGAAUAGUCCUUCAGUGAUCAUACAGUAAGAAACUACAAUAUUUUGCAAUGUUUAAAAUAAACUGAACAUAAUGGGAAAAAGAAAAAAAAGAAAUUAAGGGGAAAAAUGAGAUACAUGUCAUGUCAAUAUAUUAAUUUAAGCCUUAUCAUUAAAACUAGACCAUAUGAAACCAUCUGUGCCCCUUUUCAGUUUUGGAAUAUAAAAACAUUUCAAAAACCUAUAAAGAACCCAUCUUUUAAAUUUACUCCUUACUUCAGGAAGAUACAUUUUUCUUUAUCUGGGUAAAACAAUUCUUUCCCAAGCUCCAGAUUUAAUAGCACGAGUUCUUCAUAAAAUGCCAGUUUUCCUCUUUUAGGUAUAUAAUUCAACAUCACAUUUACGUCCAUCCACAAUUUUCUUUAUUCUUUUUCAACUAUAAUACCAUGUUUUCCCCAAAAUAAGACUGGGUCUUAUAUUAAUUUUUGCUCCAAAAGACGCAUUAUGGCUUAUUUUCCAGUUAGGUCUUAUUUUGACAGAAAUAAGGUACUAAAUGCAUUCAUCUGGUUGACGAUCUUAAUUGAGGGUUACUUUUAGGGUAGGGCUUUUAUUACAAGCAUCCUGAAAAACCAUGCUAGGGCUUAUUUUCCGGUUGGGUCUUAUUUUGGGGAAAAUACCGUACUAAAUGCAUCCAUCUGGCUGACAAUCUUAAUUGGGGCUUAUUUUGGGGGGUAGGGCUUAUAUUACGAGCAUCCUGAAAAAUUAUGCUAGGGCUUAUUUUCCGCUUGGGUCUUAUUUUCAGGGAAACAGGGUAUCUAUUGUAACUUGAAAUCAGGAAGGGAGCAUGACGGGACAUUACCAAAUAAUGUGAGUGAAAGUGUCUCCAAGUUUCUCAAGACACGAUCUCCUCACCAAGGAGGAAUCAGAUCCAGCAUUAAGGAUCAAGGUCAGCUGAAGCUUCACCCAGCUUUCUAGCAGGGUGAGGUAGUAGGUUGUGUGGUUUCAGGGUAGUAAUUUUGCCCCAAUCAGGAGUUAACUAUACAACCUACUGCCUUCCUUGAGGGAACAGCUUUGCAGCCUCUCUGAACGCUUCAGAGUACAAGCCUACGUAGGUUUCAUGUGACAUUCAAAUUCCCGCUUUAUUCAAAAUAAACCAAAUAAGCUGAGAAUUUCCUAGCAGAAAAGGCCGUUCUCCCCUUCAGAGAAUUGCGACUUUUCGUCUUGUUCAGAUACCCUCUCCAAGUUUUCACUAUUUCAGGACCAUGUAUGUGUAUGUGAGUAUUGAAUUAUUCCCUCUGUCAAAGCCUUUGUAUCAAUAAAUCCUACAGAAUUUGCCAGUCGAGGCAUGUUUCUAGAAAGCCUCUUCAUGAUCUCGAAGCUGAAAUAAAAGGUUUUGUGUUUUCAAG
Ahaetulla prasina is the source of this 3190-nucleotide long non-coding RNA. RefSeq lists it as uncharacterized. The transcript is spliced from 5 exons. Lineage: Eukaryota; Metazoa; Chordata; Lepidosauria; Squamata; Colubridae. The record is from RefSeq and is a predicted model, not a curated record.